AACGCACCUUGCGCUCCUUGGUAUUCCGAGGAGCAUGCCUGUUUGAGUGUCAUGAAACCCUCAACCUCUGACUUUCUUAAUCGUCGGUCAGCGGCUUGGACUUGGGUGUCUGCCGGUCUUCAUUGAUCGGCUCACCUGAAAUAUGUUAGCGAAUCCCUUCUGUAAUCGGUUCCACUCGACGUGAUAAGUAUUUCGUCGAGGACAUCUUUAUUGAUGGCCGAGAUAAAGCUGGUUCUAGAUCUGCUUCUAACUCUUUCGUUGCCUUCUGGUAAAGAAAAACCCCUCAUGAUCUGGCCUCAAAUCAGGUAGGACUACCCGCUGAACUUAA
Molecule: unclassified non-coding RNA, 328 nt
Filed under: uncultured Itersonilia
Lineage: Eukaryota; Fungi; Basidiomycota; Tremellomycetes; Cystofilobasidiales
Description: sequence contains ITS2
Rfam family: 5.8S ribosomal RNA (bases 1-52)
Source: RNAcentral